Long non-coding RNA from Rhincodon typus (whale shark), 138 nucleotides. RefSeq lists it as uncharacterized. NCBI's taxonomy places the organism in Eukaryota, Metazoa, Chordata, Chondrichthyes, Orectolobiformes, Rhincodontidae. The record is from RefSeq and is a predicted model, not a curated record. The transcript is spliced from 2 exons.
GCGGGACAUCCGUUCACCUCCGUCCUGAAACCGGGCCUAAAUUUUAAAGGGGAAAUGAUGCCGGCUUUAUCUGUGUGAAGAAAUUUUGAGAAAGCAACUUCAUAGAGAAAGGGAAGAAAUAAAGAUUGAUGCACCUAA